GCGUACCCCCCAUCCAGCACUUUUUCUUAUCCCCAAUCUCCCCUUCCUCAUGAUUCCCCUCUCACCCCGAGCUCCAUGACCAUGACGCUGCCCGUCACCACCAAUUUCUGCUAGGUGAGGCGCUUUCCCACGACGUCACUCACAAGCCCGGCUGUCGUGCAGUCCUCUCCUCUGAUGCUUCACUGCCGUGACUUCCUCCUCGCUGCCACACAUGCCCCUGCAGCAACCCUAGCCGCCACGGGCCUCCGGUGCGACUCCCGCGUAGGCCCUCUACCCCGCAUCUCCGUAUGCGCCGGUGCCAGCUCGGGCUCAACGGUGUUGCCCGCCUCUGGAGACCUCGCCUUCGAUAUUGACGAUUUAGUUCUGAAAUUGACAUUGCUUCAGCCAACAUGUGUGUGCUUGUUUGAUUGCAUUCUCAUCCUAGUAGCAGUUCAAUCUGUUCUGUUGAUGAACAUGCAGAAUGGUGUCGUGGCAGCACUGCACAAUUAAUUAACUACGCUGAGAAACAUUGUAGCUCUUCUUUUCGUGCCCACACACUAUGGAGCCACCAGCCUGCUCGAUUUGCCCUCACACAGUGCCAACCCUGUGAGAGAAAAUUAUGGUACUGAUUUCUUAGGUUAUAAGGUUAUGUGUUCCCCUAGGAUUUAAGAUGGUGAAGUUACUUGAUGUAGGACCUAGGGUAUACUAUAACUGUAUCACCUUUUGUUGUUUAUCGGCUUGCUUCAAUAAGAACUUCAGUGCUUGAGUCCAACCCUUUAAGGUUUCACUUUGCUCCAAUUACUCAAUCAGAACUCGUGGUUCUAUAUGUUGUAGGCUCUGAACUUCCUUCAAUCAGAAUCUAUUUUUUCACAAGAUUAUGAAAUAUUUAUGUCCCCCAGGUUCUUAUUGGCCAAUUUCUCAGAUUAGGAGUUGAUAUAAACAUCAAUAUGCUCAAGGUAAUAGACCCUACUUUGCAUAGUAAACCAUAUUGAGCUAUUGUGAAUGCAAAACAUCUUUAAUAACUGAAGAUGAUGUCACAACCCUACUUUGGUUUAUAGAUUACAAAGAGAUUGCCCAAUCUAGAAAAGAAAAGGUGUAUGCCAAACUGAAGAGUCGUGUGACGUAAGCAGCUGAGAUGCUAAAAAGUUUGUAUUGUCAAGAUAAAAUGGAUAAUGCAUGGCUUGGAUGCUGAUUGCAAGGAUGCGAAUGGUGCUACAACUGGAUAAUUAGAAUGUCAUUUUCAGGAUGAUGUUUGAAACAUUAUAGUUGAUUGCAAGGUCUAGAAAUUGGCUACUACUUGAUAGUUUCACAUCUUGUAAUCUUUGGAUCCUGUUCUUUGUAAUGCAACAUAGUUGAUUUAAUAUAUGAGA
This is a long non-coding RNA of Triticum aestivum (bread wheat), 1349 nucleotides long. RefSeq lists it as uncharacterized. The record is from RefSeq and is a predicted model, not a curated record. The transcript has 4 exons. Lineage: Eukaryota; Viridiplantae; Streptophyta; Magnoliopsida; Poales; Poaceae.